UACAGAGGUCUCAAGCGUUGUUCGGAUUCAUUGGGCGUAAAGGGUGCGUAGGCGGCGCGGUAAGUCGGGUGUGAAAUCUCGGAGCUCAACUCCGGAACUGCAUUCGAUACUGCGGUGCUUGAGGACUGGAGAGGAGACUGGAAUUCAUGGUGUAGCAGUGAAAUGCGUAGAGAUCAUGAGGAAGACCAGUGGCGAAGGCGGGUCUCUGGACAGUUCCUGACACUGAGACACGAAGGCCAGGGGAGCAAACGGG
RNAcentral lists this ribosomal RNA (253 nucleotides) under uncultured bacterium. Its description in RNAcentral is "partial 16S ribosomal RNA". It matches the Rfam family "Bacterial small subunit ribosomal RNA", at positions 524 to 776 of the family's 1533-position model. The record is from RNAcentral.